Molecule: long non-coding RNA, 214 nt
Filed under: Medicago truncatula (barrel medic)
Lineage: Eukaryota; Viridiplantae; Streptophyta; Magnoliopsida; Fabales; Fabaceae
Description: long non-coding RNA (MTRU_LNC006750)
Source: RNAcentral
GGCGAUCAGCCAAACGACCACUGGGGGUAAACGGCAUGCAUGAUUGAGUUUGCUUUGCUUGUGAUUUGAGGACUAGCUUUGGAGCAACCUCUUUGUCUUUCCUAAGAGUCUAGAUAGGCUCUGAUCUAAGAAGUGUUGAGUUUAAGGUUAUGUAGAUGAGACCUAUGGCAUAGUGUUGAGAUUUUAUAUUCAUGUAUUUGAGGAUUAUUACUUG